UACGAAGGAUUCGAGCGUUAUCCGGAUUUAUUGGGUUUAAAGGGUGCGUAGGUGGAUUAAUAAGUCAGUGGUGAAAGCCCGGAGCUCAACUCCGGAACUGCCAUUGAUACUGUUAGUCUUGAGUACAGUUGAGGUGGGCGGAAUGUGUCAUGUAGCGGUGAAAUGCUUAGAUAUGACACAGAACACCGAUUGCGAAGGCAGCUCACUACACUAUGAUUGACACUGAGGCACGAAAGCGUGGGGAUCAAACAGG
RNAcentral lists this ribosomal RNA (253 nucleotides) under uncultured bacterium. RNAcentral describes it as "partial 16S ribosomal RNA". It matches the Rfam family "Bacterial small subunit ribosomal RNA", at positions 524 to 776 of the family's 1533-position model. The record is from RNAcentral.